Molecule: ribosomal RNA, 483 nt
Filed under: uncultured bacterium
Lineage: Bacteria
Description: partial 16S ribosomal RNA
Rfam family: Bacterial small subunit ribosomal RNA
Source: RNAcentral
AUUGAACGCUGGCGGCAUGCUUUACACAUGCAAGUCGAACGGCAGCGCGGGCUUCGGCCUGGCGGCGAGUGGCGAACGGGUGAGUAAUGCAUCGGAACGUGCCCAGUAGUGGGGGAUAGCCCGGCGAAAGCCGGAUUAAUACCGCAUACGACCUGAGGGUGAAAGCGGGGGACCGAAAGGCCUCGCGCUAUUGGAGCGGCCGAUGUCGGGUUAGCUAGUUGGUGGGGUAAAGGCUUACCAAGGCGACGAUCCGUAGCUGGUCUGAGAGGACGACCAGCCACACUGGGACUGAGCCACGGCCCAGACUCCGACGGAAGGCAGCGGUGGGGAAUUUUGGCCAAUGGGGGCAACCCUGAUCCAGCCAUGCCGCGUGCGGGAAGAAGGCCUGCGGGUUGUAACCGCUUUUGUUCGGGAAGAAAUCCUCUGGGCUAAUACCCCGGGGGGAUGACGGUACCGGAAGAAUAAGCACCGGCUAACUACGUG